AAAACAUCUUUUCUUGUUAUUUAUUUGAGAUUUGACCUGCCCAAUGAUAUUUUAAUGGCCGCGGUAUUUUGACCGUGCAAAGGUAGCAUAAUCAUUAGUCAUUUAAUUGUUGACUUGUAUGAAUGGUUGGACGAAGUAUUAACUGUCUUAUUUGUAUUUUUAGAAUUUAAAUUUUGAGUUAAAAUGCUUAAAUUUUUUUAUAGGACGAGAAGACCCUGUAGAUCUUUAUUUAUUAAAUUUAUAUUAUAUUUUGGCUUAUUUAUUUAAUAUAUUUUAUUAUUUUUUGUUGGGGUGACAAGGAGAUAAAAUUAACUCUUUAUUUUUAUAUUCAUUAAUUUAUGAUUUUUUGACCUUUUAUUAAUGUUAUAAGAUAUAGAUACCUCAGGGAUAACAGCGUAAUUCUUUUUGAGAGUUCAUAUCGACAAAGGAGAUUGCGACCUCGAUGUUGGAUUAAGAUUAUAGAUAGGUGUAGAAGCUUAUUAAUUAAGUCUGUUCGACUUUUAAAAUCUUACAUGAUCUG
RNAcentral lists this ribosomal RNA (520 nucleotides) under Clonopsis felicitatis. RNAcentral describes it as "partial large subunit ribosomal RNA". It matches the Rfam family "Bacterial large subunit ribosomal RNA", at positions 1810 to 2607 of the family's 2925-position model. Lineage: Eukaryota; Metazoa; Arthropoda; Insecta; Phasmatodea; Bacillidae. The record is from RNAcentral.